GCAAGUUGAGCGCACCUUCGGGUGAGCGGCGGACGGGUUAGUAACGCGUGGGAACGUACCCUUUUCUACGGAAUAGCCAUUGGAAACGAUGAGUAAUACCGUAUACGCCCUUCGGGGGAAAGAUUUAUCGGAGAAGGAUCGGCCCGCGUUAGAUUAGAUAGUUGGUGGGGUAAUGGCCUACCAAGGCGACGAUCUGUAGCUGGUCUGAGAGGACGAUC
This 218-nucleotide ribosomal RNA is filed under the name uncultured bacterium. RNAcentral describes it as "partial 16S ribosomal RNA". It matches the Rfam family "Bacterial small subunit ribosomal RNA", at positions 57 to 305 of the family's 1533-position model. The record is from RNAcentral.